RNAcentral lists this ribosomal RNA (460 nucleotides) under uncultured bacterium. RNAcentral describes it as "partial 16S ribosomal RNA". It matches the Rfam family "Bacterial small subunit ribosomal RNA", at positions 338 to 795 of the family's 1533-position model. The record is from RNAcentral.
CCUACGGGCGGCAGCAGUGAGGAAUAUUGGUCAAUGGGCGCGAGCCUGAACCAGCCAAGUAGCGUGAAGGAUGACUGCCCUACGGGUUGUAAACUUCUUUUAUAAAGGAAUAAAGUGAGGCUCGUGUGCCUUUUUGUAUGUACUUUAUGAAUAAGGAUCGGCUAACUCCGUGCCAGCAGCCGCGGUAAUACGGAGGAGCCGAGCGUUAUCCGGAUUUAUUGGGUUGAAAGGGAGCGUAGAUGGGUUGGUAAGUCAGUUGUGAAAGUCUGCGGCUCAACCGUAAGAGUGCAAUUGAUACUGGCAGUCUUGAGUGCAGUAGAGGUAGGCGGAAUUCGUGGUGUAGCGGUGAAAUGCUUAGAUAUCACGAAGAACUCCGAUUGCGAAGGCAGCUUACUAAACUGCAACUGACAUUGAUGCUCGAAAGUGUGGGUAGCAAACAGGAUUAGAUACCCCUGUAGUC